GGUAAGUUGGCUGAAUCGGUAAAAGCUCCGGAUUUAAAAUCCGGCAUCGGAAACGGUACGUGAGUUCGAACCUCACACUUACCGCCA
Molecule: transfer RNA, 87 nt
Filed under: Enterobacter cloacae
Lineage: Bacteria; Pseudomonadati; Pseudomonadota; Gammaproteobacteria; Enterobacterales; Enterobacteriaceae
Also listed under: 9 other names
Description: tRNA-Leu
Rfam family: tRNA
About the family: Transfer RNA (tRNA) molecules are approximately 80 nucleotides in length. Their secondary structure includes four short double-helical elements and three loops (D, anti-codon, and T loops).
Source: RNAcentral